UACGUAGGGUGCAAGCGUUUGUCCGGAAUUAUUGGGCGUAAAGAGCUCGUAGGCGGUUUGUCACGUCUGCUGUGAAAUUCCGAGGCUCAACCUCGGACUUGCAGUGGGUACGGGCAGGCUAGAGUGCGGUAGGGGAGAUGGGAAUUCCUGGUGUAGCGGUGGAAUGCGCAGAUAUCAGGAGGAACACCAAUGGCGAAGGCACAUCUCUGGGCCGUAACUGACGCUGAGGAGCGAAAGCGUGGGGAGCGAACAGG
Molecule: ribosomal RNA, 254 nt
Filed under: uncultured bacterium
Lineage: Bacteria
Description: partial 16S ribosomal RNA
Rfam family: Bacterial small subunit ribosomal RNA
Source: RNAcentral